UACGUAGGGUGCGAGCGUUAAUCGGAAUUACUGGGCGUAAAGCGUGCGCAGGCGGUUCGCCAAGUCAGGUGUGAAAUCCCCGGGCUUAACCUGGGAAUUGCGCUUGAAACUAGCGGGCUUGAGUGUGGCAGAGGGGGGUGGAAUUCCACGUGUAGCAGUGAAAUGCGUAGAGAUGUGGAGGAACACCGAUGGCGAAGGCAGCCCCCUGGGUCAACACUGACGCCCAUGCACGAAAGCGUGGGGAGCAAACAGG
This 253-nucleotide ribosomal RNA is filed under the name uncultured bacterium. RNAcentral describes it as "partial 16S ribosomal RNA". It matches the Rfam family "Bacterial small subunit ribosomal RNA", at positions 524 to 776 of the family's 1533-position model. The record is from RNAcentral.